ACGCGGGUGUGCAGUAGCUUGCCGAGAAUACCAAGUAUUUAGACGAUUCAUCAAGACUGACUGGAGAGGGGAGUCUGCUGAGCUGUGAGUGACCUGUGGAUGAGCCUUUUUUAUUUUUUUUUUUCUUCCCUGCAAUUUAUUUUAUUAUUAUUUUUUUUUUUGCCCGUUCUUUUUAUUGUGUAAGUUUCCUUUGUUCUCUGAAAACCAAUAAAUGAGACUUUAAAACUG
This 228-nucleotide long non-coding RNA is filed under the name Danio rerio (zebrafish). RNAcentral's name for it is "lncRNA si:dkey-105i19.5 (ENSDARG00000097595.3)". The record is from RNAcentral. Lineage: Eukaryota; Metazoa; Chordata; Actinopteri; Cypriniformes; Danionidae.